UAAAUGUAUCAAUGAAAACUUAAUAUAUUUAGAUUUGUUUUCUACAUGAUGAGCUUCAAGCUUUCGCCCCUAUCUGAAAAUAAAGAGAAACUUCCAAUGUUGAAUGCGUGAUUGGUCUUACUGAAAAUCAUUUUAAAAUAAUAUAUCACAACCCAUUUAUAAAACUAAGCUAAUAAACUGUGAACUUACAUUGCAGGCUUACUACGGAGCUAAUCUUCGAAACGCUUUGAUUUGUAAAGAAUUUUGAUGGAACCCUCGCAUUUGCGGUUGUUACAAGGUACAGUACGUGACGCUUUGUGUUACUUAAUUUUCUUGUAUUAAUAUUCAUAAAAUAAAAGUAAAC
Drosophila arizonae is the source of this 343-nucleotide long non-coding RNA. RefSeq lists it as uncharacterized. NCBI's taxonomy places the organism in Eukaryota, Metazoa, Arthropoda, Insecta, Diptera, Drosophilidae. The record is from RefSeq and is a predicted model, not a curated record.